Molecule: ribosomal RNA, 468 nt
Filed under: uncultured bacterium
Lineage: Bacteria
Description: partial 16S ribosomal RNA
Rfam family: Bacterial small subunit ribosomal RNA
Source: RNAcentral
GAUGAACGCUGGCGGCGUGCUUAACACAUGCAAGUCGAACGGUGAAGGCGGAGCUUGCUCUGCUGGAUCAGUGGCGAACGGGUGAGUAACACGUGAGCAAUCUGCCCCUGACUCUGGGAUAAGCGCUGGAAACGGCGUCUAAUACUGGAUACGAGCUGCGAAGGCAUCUUCAGCAGCUGGAAAGAAUUUCUGUCAGGGAUGAGCUCGCGGCCUAUCAGCUUGUUGGUGAGGUAAUGGCUCACCAAGGCGUCGACGGGUAGCCGGCCUGAGAGGGUGACCGGCCACACUGGGACUGAGACACGGCCCAGACUCCUACGGGAGGCAGCAGUGGAGAAUAUUGCACAAUGGGCGAGAGCCUGAUGCAGCGACGCCGCGUGAGGGACGACGGCCUUCGGGUUGUAAACCUCUUUUAGCAGGGAAGAAGCGAAAGUGACGGUACCUGCAGAGAAAGCGCCGGCUAACUACGUG